ACCACACGCAUUCACAAACCUUCACCAUUCUUAUUUCUUUCACUAUCUAGGGUUUCUUUUUUUCACAAAUAAUACGCCGUCGCAGUCUCGCCUAUCAAUCUCCCAUCUUCGAUCUCACCCUUCUUCCACCUUCCAUCUCUGGUCAACGAAGGCUUUCUGUCCGACGAUACUUGGCUAAUCUUUGGUUUUUGAGUUUCGAAUCUUCAUCUGGAUACUUUCAAUUUCUGCUUCAUAAGGUUUGAAAGGUGGAAUUGCAGGUUUAAAAGGGAUGGAUGUUUACAAGCGCUUAUGGAUGUUUAUCGUUUUUAUUGAUUAAUUGUCGAACUACUUUUGGAUUUUAUGUCUUGUUUUAAAUGUUUGUGGUUUGUUUUGAAACUUUGAUUUGUUUUGAAUUGGUUACUGAACUGUUUAAAUUUGAAUGUUAUUUGAUGUUUUAGA
Molecule: long non-coding RNA, 438 nt
Organism: Helianthus annuus (common sunflower)
Lineage: Eukaryota; Viridiplantae; Streptophyta; Magnoliopsida; Asterales; Asteraceae
Exons: 3
Source: RefSeq, a predicted model, not a curated record